UACGGGGGGAGCAAGCGUUGUUCGGAUUUACUGGGCGUAAAGGGCUCGUAGGUGGCCAAUUAAGUCAGGCGUGAAAUCCCCAGGCUCAACUUGGGAACUGCGUCUGAUACUGGUUGGCUUGAAUUCGGGAGAGGGAUGCAGAAUUCCAGGCGUAGCGGUGAAAUGCGUAGAUAUCUGGAGGAAUACCGGUGGCGAAGGCGGCAUCCUGGACCGAGAUUGACACUGAUGAGCGAAAGCCAGGGGAGCAAACGGG
Molecule: ribosomal RNA, 253 nt
Filed under: uncultured bacterium
Lineage: Bacteria
Description: partial 16S ribosomal RNA
Rfam family: Bacterial small subunit ribosomal RNA
Source: RNAcentral